This is a long non-coding RNA of Panthera uncia (snow leopard), 723 nucleotides long. RefSeq lists it as uncharacterized. The transcript is spliced from 5 exons. The record is from RefSeq and is a predicted model, not a curated record. NCBI's taxonomy places the organism in Eukaryota, Metazoa, Chordata, Mammalia, Carnivora, Felidae.
GGAGAAGCCAGACUGGAAGGAGGAAAUCGAGGUGCCGGGUGAAGGCUACUGAAGAAGUUUGAAAAAGUUCGGUGGCGUAAUGAAAGAGGAAGAAGCUUAUUUCAGAUGAACCAGACCAGGGCGUCAAGUUCAGGAGUCAAGUUCAGGAGUCAGGACAGCAGUGGUUCGGAGCCAAGCCCUGGCAUCCAGUGAAGCAAGGUAGAGGAUGGCCUUGGCCAUGAACCCCUCUGCCUACUGGUGCUCCACCAGGCCCCGACCCAAGGCCUCCGUGUCUCGUUCUAUACCAUCUCCAGCCACUCCCCUGCACCUCCAGCUUCAGCGGCAUCUGUAGACAAGAGACCCCCACUCAGACACCUGGUCCUCUGUAAUGUGUCCCAUCUCAGGACGUGGCAGCCAUUCCAUUCUCAAGCUGGAAGCCUAGGACCCAGCCAGGACACCUCCUUUCCCAUGUCACUGAUGGCCCAUCUCUACCAGAAUGUUAAGAAAGUUGAAAAGAUCAUAAGACCCCUUCUGAGGUUGGCCAAAUAAUGGUACCCAAAGACGUCCUGUUGUAAUCUCCAAGGGAUGACUAAUUUCUCUAACAGCUACCUAUUGGACACCUACCAAGGCUGGCACUGAUAUAGACCCAAGAGGAGCAGUGGUAAACUUCUUGAUCCUCAACAAUGCUGUGAAGCAAUUAAAAACACACCCUCCUAAGUUUUCAAAACAUGUCUGUUUUCUCUC